AGGCUGUUUUAAUUUGCAAAAAUUCUCAAGCAUACUUACCUUGCAUUUAUUGCUUGAUCAAAACGGGAUUCGAAGAGGGGAAUGUCAUACUCUUAGAUCAAGGACUUUGGAAAUUAAAAACUUUGUCAACUCUUGCUGGCAUAUUACUUAUUAGAGGGACCAUGGGCUAUCAUUCUCUUUUUCUUCUCUUUUUUUAAGUGGAUACCGAGGUACUCUAAUUCUACUGCUGGACACUUAUCUAUUUUUUUCUGCGAGGUUAUCGAGCACUUGCUCCUUUUUAUUUCCUCGAAAUAUCUUUAUUUUUGCAUAGCCCAUGCUUCUAAUGCAAUAAUACUUUGGAAGAGUGAAUCUUUCUGAAUAAAUGUCUUGAUCUUAGGAGCAUGAUAAAUCUCUCAACAAGGGUCUAACUCAUUUUGAACAAACUCAAUACAGAGUAGAUAGCCUUUUAUAAUCAUAAUUAAUAUUUUCAGUUUUAGUAGGCAUAUAAAACACUGAGGAUGGUAGCUAGAAUUUUUGAAUAAAUUCUCCAAGCAACAAUGAUAUCAAGAAUAAGAAAC
Molecule: long non-coding RNA, 557 nt
Filed under: Sorghum bicolor (sorghum)
Lineage: Eukaryota; Viridiplantae; Streptophyta; Magnoliopsida; Poales; Poaceae
Description: long non-coding RNA (SBIC_LNC011837)
Source: RNAcentral